GCAUAUCAAUAAGCGGAGGAAAAGAAACUAACAAGGAUUCCCCUAGUAACUGCGAGUGAAGCGGGAAAAGCUCAAAUUUAAAAUCUGUCAGUCUUUGGCUGUCCGAGUUGUAAUCUAGAGAAGUGUUAUCCGCGCUGGACCGUGUACAAGUCUCCUGGAAUGGAGCGUCAUAGAGGGUGAGAAUCCCGUCUUUGACACGGACUGCCAGGGCUUUGUGAUGCGCUCUCAAAGAGUCGAGUUGUUUGGGAAUGCAGCUCAAAAUGGGUGGUAAAUUCCAUCUAAAGCUAAAUAUUGGCGAGAGACCGAUAGCGAACAAGUACCGUGAGGGAAAGAUGAAAAGAACUUUGGAAAGAGAGUUAAACAGUACGUGAAAUUGCUGAAAGGGAAACGCUUGAAGUCAGUCGCGUUGUUCAGGGAUCAACCUUGCUUUUGCUUGGUGUAUUCUCUGGUUGACGGGUCAGCAUCAAUUUUGACUAUUGGAAAAAGAUUAAGGGAAUGUGGCAUCCUYGGAUGUGUUAUAGCCCUUGGUUGCAUACAAUGGUUGGGAUUGAGGAACUCAGCACGCCGAAAGGCCGGGUUUUAACCACGUACGUGCUUAGGAUGCUGGCAUAAUGGCUUUAAUCGACCCGUCUUGAAACACGGACCAAGGAGUCUAACAUGCCUGCGAGUGUUUGGGUGGAAAACCCGAGCGCGUAAUGAAAGUGAAAGUUGAGAUCCUUGUCAUGGGGAGCAUCGACGCCCGGACCAGACCUUUUGUGACGGUUCCGCGGUAGAGCAUGUAUGUUGGGACCCGAAAGAUGGUGAACUAUGCCUGAAUAGGGUGAAGCCAGAGGAAACUCUGGUGGAGGCUCGUAGCGAUUCUGACGUGCAAAUCGAUCGUCAAAUUUGGGUAUAGGGGCGAAAGACUAAUCGAACCAUCUAGUAGCUGGUUCCUG
Molecule: ribosomal RNA, 935 nt
Filed under: Cortinarius purpureocapitatus
Lineage: Eukaryota; Fungi; Basidiomycota; Agaricomycetes; Agaricales; Cortinariaceae
Description: partial large subunit ribosomal RNA
Source: RNAcentral